ACGGAAGGCAGCAGUGGGGAAUAUUGCACAAUGGGCGAAAGCCUGAUGCAGCGACGCCGCGUGAGUGAAGAAGUAUCUCGGUAUGUAAAGCUCUAUCAGCAGGGAAGAAAAUGACGGUACCUGACUAAGAAGCCCCGGCUAACUACGUGCCAGCAGCCGCGGUAAUACGUAGGGGGCAAGCGUUAUCCGGAUUUACUGGGUGUAAAGGGAGCGUAGGCGGUUUGGCAAGUCUGAAGUGAAAUGCGGGGGCUCAACUCCUGAACUGCUUUGGAAACUGUCGAACUAGAGUGCAGGAGAGGUAAGUGGAAUUCCUAGUGUAGCGGUGAAAUGCGUAGAUAUUAGGAGGAACACCAGUGGCGAAGGCGGCUUACUGGACUGUAACUGACGUUGAGGCUCGAAAGCGUGGGGAGCAAACAGGAUUAGAUACCCUGGUA
RNAcentral lists this ribosomal RNA (434 nucleotides) under uncultured Lachnospiraceae bacterium. RNAcentral's name for it is "partial 16S ribosomal RNA". It matches the Rfam family "Bacterial small subunit ribosomal RNA", at positions 341 to 792 of the family's 1533-position model. The record is from RNAcentral. Lineage: Bacteria; Bacillati; Bacillota; Clostridia; Lachnospirales; Lachnospiraceae.